Molecule: unclassified non-coding RNA, 25 nt
Filed under: Mus musculus (house mouse)
Lineage: Eukaryota; Metazoa; Chordata; Mammalia; Rodentia; Muridae
Description: oocyte_clustered_small_RNA54
Source: RNAcentral
CCCUGCACAGAGAUAGACACGCUUG